This is a non-coding RNA of Cricetulus griseus (Chinese hamster), 2449 nucleotides long. The record is from RefSeq and is a predicted model, not a curated record. Lineage: Eukaryota; Metazoa; Chordata; Mammalia; Rodentia; Cricetidae.
CAGAGGGUUGGUUGGUUAUUGCUGUUGCUUUCUUUAAACAUGUCCUUGUGGUUGAGCAGGAGAUGAUAGAUAGAUAGAUAGAUAGAUAGAUAGAUAGAUAGAUAGAUAGAUAGAUAGAUAGGCCAUGAAUUAGGCAGCAUGUGAUGGGAUGUUCAUAUGGAAAGAGCUGGAGAGAUGAAAGACAUUGGGGAAAAUAGUGGAAUUGAUUUACAAUUUAAUUCCAUUUUAAUCAAAAAACUUAAGAGUACAACAAAGAUCCUUUAAUCAAGAGAGGCUUAGAACUGAAUCAGGACGGAUGGAAAAUGUUGUGAUGAGUGGGGAGGCACACAGAAACCUUAUCUGCAGCCUCUCUGUAGACUGCUGGAAGGAAAGCAACCUGAAGGGCAUGCACACAACUUGGAGGAAAAAUACAUACUAACUAUGGCAAAACCCAAAGAUGAUGGUGACUUUCAGGCAUGGCUUGCCAAUCUGUGCCAGUUGAGCAUGAAGCUGAAUAUUGAAACUGAGCUCCUGUAGGUCUGGGAAGAUGGAGGAGAUGGAGCCCUUCUUCUACUACUGUUUGGAAAUACACAGUGGUGGGCUGAGUUUACUCUGGAAACAAAGCAACAUUCACCAGGAGUGAACCUGGAGCAGUUUCUGCCCCUUGACAGGGCCAGAGUUUGAACAGCUGGUUCUCUCUGCUGGGCUCCAGAAGGGGGUUGUGCUUCUGUUGUCCAAGCACAAAGUGUGAUUCAUGGACCACACACCAAACCACAAUCAGGGCUGUGAUGCUGCUACUCAAGGGAGCACAGAAUGCAUGUGCCAUGCGUGACUGGAAAGAUCACUUUCCAGUGAACACACCCCUGCCAGCAGAGCAAUCACGGAAGGACAAUAAUGACUCAGAGCUCGGGGUCGUCUGGAUCUUGACUAGACUACACCAGAGUACCACUGAUCUAUUGCAGGGAAGAGGUUCUUGGUUUGGCUACAGAUGGAGAAAACAGGUCACUGUCUGUCACUGAGGGACAUCAAGGCAGGACUCAAGGACCCAGAAGACAGAAACCAUGGAGGAGCACCACUGGAUGGCUUACUCUCUGGCCCAUGCUCAGCUAGCUUCCUUCUAUAGCCCAGACUACCUAUGUUCUGAAGCUCCCUCUUGCAUCUCCUCCAAGCUGGGAUAAGCACUGAUUGACUCAGGGACUUCACGUGUUUCAGCCACUUUCACACUUUCCAUCUCAAGCUUGAAUACAGUUGACAGAGGGAGCACUAAUUAGUUAAUGAGAGCUGUUAAAAGAAUUCCACACAUGUAUAAAAACAAGCAAAUGAAGAAAGGAGGAGGAGGAGGAGGAGGAGAAGAAGAAGAAGACGAAGCAGAAGAAGAAGAAGAAGAAGAAGAAGAAGAAGAAGAAGAAGAAGCUAUCAAUUUGAGAGUGGGGGUAUAGAAGGGGUGAGAGGGAGGAGAGGAAAGGAAGAAAGUGAUGUAAUUCUAUUUCAAUUAAAAACAUUGUUUUUUUUUUAAAGAAUCAGGAUGUUUUAAAAAUAUGAAGACACUAAGCCCACAAUAUUUUUAAAGGAAUAAAUUAGUGAAAAGAGGGCAGGCUCCUUACUCAGAAUCACAGCAUAGCUUGAAACACAGGAGAGUGAUCCACAGGCCGUCAUUGCAGAAUUCACUUCCUCCCCCGGGAAUUUGAUCAGUCUGAUUUUUGCAGACCUGAAAUACUCCAGGUUAUGUGCACUGGGCCUUCCUGGCCACAGCCUAUACCAGAUCUACAUCCUAAAUUCUCAGACUCCAUUGCCUUUGAAUAUUUUCACAACAAAGAGGGACAUCAAGUAGUAUAAACCAAAUAAUGCAGCUUCUGAGACCUCAAAAUGCAGCUUGGAUAAUUUAUGAUUUGUAUGGUAAUUUAUUUAAACAUCCUUCCUGCUAGACAAAUAAAUUGUUUUCAGAGUGGUUUCUAUUACAAAAAAUAAUACGGUGUGCUUAUAUAAGCAUGUAUGUUUAUCUUAAAAAAAUUUUUUUUUUAAACUGGGAACAAAAUAUCCUGGGGAAUAGUGGAAGUUUGAGAGACUGGUCCGGGCAGAUGGCACCACACUUCUACAGGCUUGCAUAGCACUUAAUAUCCCUUCCACACGGAUGCACUUUGCUUGCUCUGAAAACUUAAUUAAUGUUGUUGAUCAAUUAAUUGCAAGCAAGAGGGGAGGCAAAAAGCCUUGAGAAUGUCUGAAAUGCUGUUCUAGUAUGCCACAUUUACAUAUUACUCACACAGCAGGCACAGCUGAGGUGCCUCGAGUAAUAUUUGAGAACACAGUUAUGUACAUUGAAAGAAAAAAAAUUUAAAGGGCUUUAUAGGUCAAGAGGAGGCUAUUAAACAGAUUUCACAGAUUACUAAGUGACAGCGUUAGGAGUAGCAGAUGUGUAUUGGACUUACGUGGAACUUUUUAUUUAAUGUAAUUUAUUAAAUAUUAAAUAUAA